GGUAGGGGCGGUUUUAGCUGACGAUGGACAUUUAUUUGUCUGUUGAGGAAAGUCCACCCACUAUAAAGUUGAGUUUUUGUAUGAAAGCUUAACUGGAAGAAAGUCACUCCUGUUAUGGGAGAGGGAGAAAUCCCUGGCUCUGGCUCAGAAACGACACGUCCAUGGACGAGGAUGAAAAUGGCGAAGCUUGUUGAGAAACAAGUGAGUUAACCCGUAGACGUUGUUCAUGGGAGCGAUGAAACGGCGAAACCUGACUGGUGCAAGACAGUAUGUCGCUUAGUAGAAUGCUAAAAAGUUCGUCCGAUUACGGGAAAUAACAAAAGGUGGCUUAUCCCGCCCUACC
RNAcentral lists this RNase P RNA (343 nucleotides) under Candidatus Woesearchaeota archaeon. RNAcentral's name for it is "RNase P RNA component". It matches the Rfam family "Archaeal RNase P". From Rfam's summary of the family: Ribonuclease P (RNase P) is a ubiquitous endoribonuclease, found in archaea, bacteria and eukarya as well as chloroplasts and mitochondria. Its best characterised activity is the generation of mature 5'-ends of tRNAs by cleaving the 5'-leader elements of precursor-tRNAs. Lineage: Archaea; Nanobdellati; Candidatus Woesearchaeota. The record is from RNAcentral.